RNAcentral lists this ribosomal RNA (114 nucleotides) under Escherichia coli. RNAcentral's name for it is "partial 23S ribosomal RNA". The stretch from base 1 to 102 matches the Rfam family "Bacterial large subunit ribosomal RNA", at positions 2824 to 2925 of the family's 2925-position model. The record is from RNAcentral. Lineage: Bacteria; Pseudomonadati; Pseudomonadota; Gammaproteobacteria; Enterobacterales; Enterobacteriaceae. RNAcentral also lists the same sequence under 31 other names.
CUCCUGAAGGAACGUUGAAGACGACGACGUUGAUAGGCCGGGUGUGUAAGCGCAGCGAUGCGUUGAGCUAACCGGUACUAAUGAACCGUGAGGCUUAACCUUACAACGCCGAAG